This 394-nucleotide ribosomal RNA is filed under the name uncultured bacterium. RNAcentral describes it as "partial 16S ribosomal RNA". It matches the Rfam family "Bacterial small subunit ribosomal RNA", at positions 523 to 918 of the family's 1533-position model. The record is from RNAcentral.
AUACGGAGGAUGCGAGCGUUAUCCGGAUUCAUUGGGUAUAAAGGGUGCGUAGGCGGCCCCCCAAGUCAGCGGUGAAAUGUCCGGGCCCAACCCGGAGGGUGCCGUUGAUACUGCGGGGCUGGAGUACGGACGCCGGCGGAGGAAUGAGUGGUGUAGCGGUGAAAUGCAUAGAUAUCACUCAGAACACCGAUUGCGAAGGCAUCCGCCGAGGCCGUUACUGACGCUGAGGCACGAAAGCGUGGGGAUAGAACAGGAUUAGAUACCCGGGUAUUCCACGCCGUAAACGAUGAUGACUAACCGCCGGGGGGUAGACUUCCGGCAGCCAAGCGAAAGCGAUAAGUCAUCCACCUGGGGAGUACGGCCGCAAGGCUGAAACUCAAAGGAAUUGACGGGG